This 396-nucleotide ribosomal RNA is filed under the name uncultured bacterium. RNAcentral describes it as "bacterial SSU rRNA". It matches the Rfam family "Bacterial small subunit ribosomal RNA", at positions 355 to 768 of the family's 1533-position model. The record is from RNAcentral.
UGGGGAAUAUUGCACAAUGGGCGAAAGCCUGAUGCAGCAACGCCGCGUGGAGGAUGAAGGCCUUCGGGUUGUAAACUCUUGUCUUCUGGGACGAUAAUGACGGUACCAGAGGAGGAAGCCACGGCUAACUACGUGCCAGCAGCCGCGGUAAUACGUAGGUGGCAAGCGUUGUCCGGAUUUACUGGGCGUAAAGGAUGCGUAGGCGGAUAUUUAAGUGGGAUGUGAAAUACCCGGGCUCAACCUGGGUGCUGCAUUCCAAACUGGAUAUCUGGAGUGUGGGAGAGNAAAGUGGAAUUCCUAGUGUAGCGGUGAAAUGCGUAGAGAUUAGGAAGAACACCAGUGGCGAAGGCGACUUUCUGGACCGUAACUGACGCUGAGGCAUGAAAGCGUGGGGAG